AUUGAACGCUGGCGGCAGGCCUAACACAUGCAAGUCGAGCGGAUGAAGGGAGCUUUCGCCUGGAUUCCGCGGCGGACGGGUGAGUAAUGCCUAGGAAUCUGCCUUGUAGAGGGGGAUAACGUCCGUAAACGGGCGCUAAUAUCACAUACGUCCUGAUGUAGAACGUGGGGGAUCUUCGGACAUCACGCUAUCAGAUGAGACUAGGUCGGAUUAGCUAGUUGGUGGGGUAAAGGCCUACCAAGGCGACGAUCCGUAACUGGUCUGAGAGGAUGAUCAGUCACACUGGAACUGAGACACGGUCCAGACUCCUACGGGAGGCAGCAGUGGGGAAUAUUGGACAAUGGGCGAAAGCCUGAUGCAGCAAUGCCGCGUGUGUGAAGAAGGUCUUCGGAUUGUAAAGCACUUUUAGUUGGGAGGAAGGGCAGUAAGUUUAUACCUUGCUGUUUUGACGUUACCUACAGAAUAAGCACCGGCUAACUUCGUG
This 484-nucleotide ribosomal RNA is filed under the name uncultured bacterium. RNAcentral's name for it is "partial 16S ribosomal RNA". It matches the Rfam family "Bacterial small subunit ribosomal RNA", at positions 30 to 507 of the family's 1533-position model. The record is from RNAcentral.